UCAGAGUGGGAGGCUCAUUUGCUUGACAUAAACUCCUCCCACCUACUGAUGGGGUUUCAUCUCACUGUGGCAGAUCUGCAGAGACAUAAGUGUCUAGGAAGACCAUCUUUGACCUUAUGCAAUGGAAAUGUGGUGGAAAUGGUCAGUGCCGGCAUUACUGACAGUGGCAGCAGUAGUUAAGGUGACAUCAGAUCAAAUGAGGAUUCAGUUCACAAAUGAGCCACCGAGUUCCAUUUCCAUUCUUCUCGGCUCAUCGAGGCAACUGACCUGCAGUUUCGUGAUAGAUGAGAACAUCCAGAGAGUCCGGGUUAGCUGGUGCUUCAAACCACCUGGAUGGUUACGGUCAUGCAAAGAAGACAUCUUGAACAAAUCAACAAAACUCUUUGAUAUAACAAAACAUGACAAUGUCAGGACACUGCGGACCCAUUUCACCAUAUCAAACGCGAAACACGACGACAGUGGGUUGUACUUUUGCAAAGCCACUGUAGAAGUGCCUAAUUAUGCUAGCUUUAACAGCAUCGGAACACAAGUACUUGUUGGCAAGUACAGCGUUUAAGAGAAAGCUUAUUGUCAUUGUGUCUUGCUGUCAUUUCAAGAAUGUUUUUGCCUCUGUUACAGAAAAUGGCACAGUGGACUACACAACAAUCCCAUCGCCUGCUGUACUGCCGAUUCUUCAUUACAGCUGGUGGUUCUGGGUAAUCACUGGAGGAUCCAUUGUGACUGCAGUCAUCCUUGUGGCCGCAUGCAUCUUGCACAUAAGAAGACAUCGCAGGAGCAGAGGUACCA
Thalassophryne amazonica is the source of this 786-nucleotide long non-coding RNA. RefSeq lists it as uncharacterized. The record is from RefSeq and is a predicted model, not a curated record. The transcript is spliced from 3 exons. NCBI's taxonomy places the organism in Eukaryota, Metazoa, Chordata, Actinopteri, Batrachoidiformes, Batrachoididae.